RNAcentral lists this long non-coding RNA (4900 nucleotides) under Sus scrofa (pig). Its description in RNAcentral is "lncRNA (ENSSSCG00065008932.1)". Lineage: Eukaryota; Metazoa; Chordata; Mammalia; Artiodactyla; Suidae. The record is from RNAcentral.
UUUGGCUGCCUUCAGGCCAUUUCACUGUUAAUUAGCACUUCUAUUUUAUCAUGAGUGACAAAAAUAAGGAAAGAAAAUCAAGGCAGUCGGUUUGGUACUAAUUACCACCUAGUUAAAAAAUAAAAAGGCUGAGGCCAUUAGUGAAAAUGAGAUUUGAGGUUGUCUGUAGAAUUCACUUAUUUGUCUUCAGCAGUCAUUGCCUAUGAAAGCUUCAUUGAGCAUCAGGGAGCUGGGUGUCUUCCCUCAGGGCCUUCCUCAAUUUAAUCACUUAUCAAGUUAUGUCACAAUUAUCCAUGUAUGUGCCCCCUGCCAUGACAAAGAACAUGUGCUCUGUCUUAUUCAUCUUUGUACCCCCAUCUUGACAUAAAGCAGAUGCUCAAUAAAUAUUUUUGAACUGUUAAAGGGUUGUAUAGUUGCUUGAUAAUCAAUCAGAAUAAACUGAUGAAGUUUCAAGAAAUGUUUAGAAUAGUUAUAGGGCACCUAGAAAUACAGGUCAAGGUCUAGCAAUCCCAAUAUAUCAACCAUAGUAUGGUUUCAUGAAGAUAGUCCAUGCAUUGGAAUGAUGGGCUAGGUAAAAAUAAGAGGUGAAAAUAUUCAUGUGGAUGAAAUAGGCGAAUGGGGUUAGGAGGUACAAUCUUCCAGCUAUGAAAUAGAUAACUCACAGGGAUGUAAGGUAUAGGGAAUAUAGUCAGUAAUGUUGUAACAACUUUGUAUAGUGACAGAUGGUAACUGGCAUUUUGGUGAUCAUUUCAUAAUGUAUAAAAAUACUGAAUCAAUCUGUUGUACACUGGAAACUAAUAUUAUUUGUUAAUUAUAACAAUAAAGAAAGUAGUCAUAGAGUUUCAAAUUGAACAGUAAAGACUAAUAAUAGUCUGUGGCUUUUGCUUAAAAAGAGCAAGGAGGCCAAAUGUCAUCUUCUAACUCAUUUUACAAAAUAUUUGGAGGACCUUGGAAGGCCAGCACCACUUGAGAAUAAAAGGCAAGGAAAGAUAGUAAAUAUGAGGUCCUGUUAGGUAAAGGGCUUUAAGAACAAUGCGCAUAACUUGGAUGUGUUCUUUUUGCUUCGUUUUUGUUGUCUUCCCCAUUGAGAACACAUGCAUUUGGAAAAGCAAAGCUUUUGAAGUCAGACAGUUCUAGGUUCAAAUUCAAGCUUCGUAAUUGUUAGCUUUGGGACCAUGAUUUCUUUGAGUUUCAGUUUCUUCAUCGGUUUCGUGAAGAUGAUAAUGCCCACCCUUUCCUGCUGUAGAGGAGACUGAACGCCAGAAUAAACAUGACACUUUAGCAUUGCAACUCUCAUAGAGCAGUGACACAGUAGAGUCACUUCACAUUUCUCAUGUCUGCUAUUUUAUUUUUCAAUUAAUCACAUUUCCGUAAUUCUCGUAGAAAUACAUACUAAUUAUGGACAAUUUAGAAAAUACAGGAAGACAUAAUGAAAUCAUUAAAACCACCUUUCUAUCCCCUAGUAAAGCCACUAGGGGAUGGUUGGGUAGAUGAGUCUGGAGUUGAGGAGAGACAUCUGGCUUGGCUGGAGAGACAAAUUGGGAGUCCUCAGCAGGUGCAUGGGAAUCAAAGCUAGGGGAGUUCAUGAAUUAACCCAGGGAGAAUAUGUGGAGUGAGAAGAAAAGAAAGCUUAGGAUAUAGUCCUAAGAUGAGCCAUGCAAAUGAAAAAAAUAUGUACAAGCCCCAGACUUCUUAAAAGUCUGGCCUCAAUGCAGCUAGAUGAUGAGAGUGUAGCAUCACAAUGGAAGGAAACAGAUUAACUCCAAACAAAAUACUUUCCCCCUCCUGUGUCUUCCUUUAAGUCCCUUUCCCUUUUUUCAGUGGAAACUCCCUUUCCUCAAGAGUUUGCCAUAACUAGAGCCACAGGUCAUGGGGAGCUUGAGCUCUGCACCGUCUGGGGGGGUUGCCACCCUGGAGGAAGAAAUGUUCUUAAUUACAUAAAGGCACUAGCUGGCUGUGACCCUGUCAGAAACCCAUUGUUCUUUUACUUUCUCUCCACAUUCAAAGCCAUUAUGGAUCAAGUGUGAUGUUUUUAUGUAUAUUGACCAAAACAUAUUCAUUUUUUAAUAGAAUAAUGCUUUAUUAUUUUGUUUGCUAAAACAAAGGUAUAAAAUGCGAUGAUGGAGAAGAAUAAGCAGAUUUUUAUGACCCUAAAAUGAAUUAAUAAUAGUCAGGUUAUUAGAAUAUAAAAGAGGCACAUAUGUUUAGCAUAAUGCAGUUUGUGAAAUGACAUACCACUUAACACCAUCAAUGUCCAAUUUUUAUAAUUUCAAAAAUGCAAGAUUAAGAUAAGAAGUUUAUGUCUUUUCCCUUGACUUAUUUUCUUUUACAGUAACCAAAACUUAUUUAUCCUAGAGUGCUUCCUUAGUCAAUAUACAUCCCUGUCAAGACUUGUAUUUGGUGAUUUCCUUGAUGAGCAGCUCCAGGGAACCCCACCAAUAUUGAUUCUAUGUUAUGCUCCAGGGGAUGUUAUUCCUAUAGAAUGCAGUAAAUAUUUAUGAGAAAUUAAAGUCUCUGUCCUCAUUUAAAAGAAUAUAAGUCUGGAGAAAACAGGAAAGAUUUUCCAGUGUCUGCUUUUAUUAUGGUUGAUAUGAACUCAUUUAUUUUUCAAACCAUAAUUAGUGAGCAUACUCUUUCUUCACAUCAUCAGUUUAUUGGAUCUUUCUAAUAGGGGCACAAUAUUACACAUAAUUUUUAGAAAAUGGAAAUGUUCCUAAGGAAAUAUUUUAUUGUUUUCUUCUUGCCAUAGAAUGUUGACAAUUAACACUUCUUUAACUUGCCAUAUAUAUUAAUUCACCAGAGCAAUUUCAGUCUUCUUCAAACUUUCAGUCAAUUGUUGACCAUCAGAGUUCAUGAUAACUGAGCAUUCCUUUUCUUACCAUCAUCAUAAGCCAUUUUAUGAAAAUUAGGGUUUGCGUGGAAAGGUUUUGGAUGGGGGUAGAGAUAGUAAGACAUGAUCCAUUGUAAACUUUACUUUGCCAGACCAAAGAUUCCCUGGCAUGAUGACCAAAAGUGUUAAAAUAUAACAGAUAAACUAUGCAGUAUUUUUGCAGUAGGCUUCUUUUUCGAUGAUUCCUUCCUUAGUGAUCCUUGAAGAUUUAUUCUGUAGCUUCUUUGAAGAAGCCUAGGCCUUCCUCAACUUCCUAUCUAGCCAGAUCUCAGCACAGAGAUUAGUGGACCCACCACUUUGUUGAAGUUUUCAGGCCUGGAGGGGACAGGUAUCUAGUUUUUAGUGUCUGACUAUUUCAAAUGAAAUAGAAAUUACUUUGGCUUAUCUCUUUUUUCCAUUAUCUUCUCUUCUCUCCGUUCAUGCCUAUGGUUCAUAAUUGGCUGUAUAAAUUAAAUACUUCGUAAUGAACCUAAUUCUUAUCUUCUAUAAAUGCAGGCUUAUUAACAUUAAAGAUUACUGGAGUAGUCUGUCAUGUCAAAUCAUUGUACUGAUUUAAAAACAUACUAAUUACCAUAGGAAUUGGGAUUCUAACGUAAGUGCUAUGAGACAGGGUCACAGAAUCUGGAGAAGAGUUUCAGAGCAAAUUAGAGUUUGAGGUCAGAGAAUACAGAAGGUGAGCUUGGAGCAACUUGUGGUGUCAGAAAGUAAGGAAGCAAUGGAAGGAAGGAGGGAAAAGAGGAAGGAAGGGAGAAGGGAAGGGAGGGAGAGAAGGAGGGAUGGAGCGUUGGAGGGAGGGACACAGGAGGGAGGGAGGACACAACGUGAGAGAGACGCAGGCGCCAGCUGAAAGCGCUCCCAACAGGCAAAGCUAGAGCAACAAGAUAGUGUUGGAUUGUAGCCCAAAGGAUAAGAUAAAUAUCCAUGACUCUUUUCUGAUACAUGCAAUUGAAGAAUGGAUAAAUAAAUAUAAGGGAGAGCAGAGACACAUCUCCUAUGCAUAAGGAUUCUCAGAGUUAUGUAGACACUUGCCCUCGAGGCGUUGGAGCAUCAACUCUCCCUUCCUCAAGCAUAACCUUCACAUAGUGUCUUCCUUCCAAAGAAGGCUGCGCGGAAAGUGGAGGAAAACAGACUGUCCAGUGGAGAUGCCUGACGAGUACCACCUCAGACAAGGCGUCAAUGUCAACAUCAACAGUGAUAAUCAUUUUGGGAGAUCAUUUCUUACGUUCAUACCCUUGAUUUGAUAUGCUCAAUAUGGCACUUUCUGAUUUUCCUCCCCAAAACUUACAAUCUUGUCUAAUUAUGAGAAAAACAUCAUAGAAGCUCUAGUUGGGAGACAUUUUACAAACCACCUGACCACUACUCCUUCAAACUGUCAAGGUCAUCACAGACAAGACAAUUCUGAGAAAUGUCACAGCUCAGAGGCACCUAAGGAGACAAGGCACCUAAAUGCAAUGUGGUGUCCUGUAGCAGAGAAAGAACUUUAGAUAAAAACUAAGGAAAUCAGAAUAAUGUAUGGACUUCAUAUGGUGCAGUGGUUAAUGAAUCGGACUAGGAACCAUGAGGUUGUGGGUUCGAUCCCUGGCCUUGCUCAGUGGGUUAAGGAUCUGGCGUUGCUGUGGCUGUGGUGUAGGCCGGUGACUACAGCUCCUCUUGGACCCCUAGCCUGGGAACCUCCAUAUGCCGCAGGUGCAGCCCUAGAAAAGACAAAAUAAAUAAAUAAAUAAAUAAUAAAAUUAAAAGCUGAUUUAAAAACAAAUUUAAGGGAGUUCCCGUUACGGUGCAGCAGAAACAAAUCCAACUAGAAACCAUAAGUUUGCAGGUUCAAUCCCUGGCCUUGCUCAGUGGGUUAAGGAUCUGGUGUCACCAUGAGCUGUGGUGUAGGUCACAGAUGCCGCUCAGAUCUGAUGUGGCUGUGGCUGUGGUGUAGGCCUGCAGCUGUAGCUCCGAUUCGACCCCUAGCCUGGGAACCUCCAUAUACCUUGGGUGUGGCCCUAAAAAGAAAAAAAAAAA